UCUUCACCCCGCCCCUCCCUUACUUGGUCGCUCGGCUGGCCCGAUUCACCUUCGGGGUGAAGGCUACCAGCGAGCAUUAUAGCAGAAGACUUUAAUAUAUGCAGGCGGCAGCAGGAACUCUGGGAACUUGGGUGCCCUUGCCUGGCAGUAAGGGUUGAACUAUCUGGAUCUGAAAUACUUUUCAGAGCCGAGGGGUGAUAGGCUCUGCAAAAGCACUUUUUGCCCCUCUCCCUUAUGCCAAUACUCGCUGACUGUGCACACAAGUCAUAUUCAGUAUUAAAUACAAACCGGUCUGUAAUUCAGUGGCUCUAGCAAGACGCCUCUGAAAGGGCCAGGUGGCGGGUGCAAGUUGCUCAUCAACCCUUUAGAGUCGCAGUUUGCAGAUCUGAGUUAGAUCCCCGGCUUUAAGGUCCUUCAGUUGCCCUCCUCCCCCACCUCCCCCCGCCACUGCGAGAAAAAUGUGCAAAGAGAAGGAAAUUUGCACAUCAAACGAGGGGCAAUCGCGGCAGUAGAUGAACUUGAUUAGGCAGACGCGUGAGAUCAAAGUGGCCGGGACCAAAGCGGACAGGGUCCAACGUGCCAGCACUGCCAAGAGAAGGCCUUUUGUACUCAGGUUAAAUAAGAACAUCCUGCAAGGAGUCUGUUCUUUUAUGCAGCCUAAAGAUCAAGUAAUAAUCAUUGACAUUGAUACUGAGCAUGUCGAUUUUGAAGAGACUGGCAUUUCCUGGUAAUGAAGUGGAGUAUAUAUCCAUAUAUUUCUGUUUUCUAGAUAAGAAGACUAACCUAACCAAGUAGGAACCUUGAAGAAUCAUGUUCUUCCUAGGAAUUACAAAUCCCCCGAUUCCAUGUCUAACAUAAUUUCUACUGGCCUCUUUGCUUCUCAUGCUUUAGUAUCAGUGCUUCUAAAUUUGAAAGUCUUCAUGCAAAUUGCCCAACUCACAGCGCAGCCACUGUUGAGGAAAUGCUGAUCA
Molecule: non-coding RNA, 971 nt
Filed under: Pongo abelii (Sumatran orangutan)
Lineage: Eukaryota; Metazoa; Chordata; Mammalia; Primates; Hominidae
Source: RNAcentral